Molecule: ribosomal RNA, 207 nt
Filed under: uncultured bacterium
Lineage: Bacteria
Description: partial 16S ribosomal RNA
Rfam family: Bacterial small subunit ribosomal RNA
Source: RNAcentral
CACGUAGGCGGAUUUGUUAGUCAGGGGUGAAAUCCCGGGGCUCAACCUCGGAACUGCCUUUGAUACUGCAAGUCUAGAGUCCGGAAGAGGUGAGUGGAAUUCCUAGUGUAGAGGUGAAAUUCGUAGAUAUUAGGAAGAACACCAGUGGCGAAGGCGGCUCACUGGUCCGGUACUAACGCUGAGGUGCGAAAGCGUGGGGAGCAAACA